RNAcentral lists this ribosomal RNA (498 nucleotides) under uncultured bacterium. RNAcentral describes it as "bacterial SSU rRNA". It matches the Rfam family "Bacterial small subunit ribosomal RNA", at positions 10 to 507 of the family's 1533-position model. The record is from RNAcentral.
AGUUUGAUCAUGGCUCAGAUUGAACGCUGGCGGAAUGCUUUACACAUGCAAGUCGAACGGCAGCACGGGGCAACCUGGUGGCGAGUGGCGAACGGGUGAGUAAUACAUCGGAACGUGCCCAAUCGUGGGGAUAACGUAGCGAAAGUUACGCUAAUACCGCAUACGAUCUACGGAUGAAAGCGGGGGAUCGCAAGACCUCGCGCGAAUGGAGCGGCCGAUGUCAGAUUAGGUAGUUGGUGGGGUAAAGGCUCACCAAGCCGACGAUCUGUAGCUGGUCUGAGAGGACGACCAGCCACACUGGGACUGAGACACGGCCCAGACUCCUACGGGAGGCAGCAGUGGGAAUUUUGGACAAUGGGCGCAAGCCUGAUCCAGCCAUUCCGCGUGCAGGAUGAAGGCCUUCGGGUUGUAAACUGCUUUUGUACGGAACGAAACGGUUCUCUCUAAUACAGGGGGCUAAUGACGGUACCGUAAGAAUAAGCACCGGCUAACUACGUG